This is a non-coding RNA of Taeniopygia guttata (zebra finch), 8196 nucleotides long. The record is from RefSeq and is a predicted model, not a curated record. Lineage: Eukaryota; Metazoa; Chordata; Aves; Passeriformes; Estrildidae.
CGGCCCUGAAGAAAGGAUGACAAGAAAAGAGUGUAAUAAAGCUGAGAGAAUCAUAUGGGUCAGGCCCACAAUAUCUUCAAUUAAUCACUACCAUUAUCAUCAGGAUCCUCAUGCAGAAGAAAGCACUAACAAAACACUGUUCCAUUCCUGGACGUGCAAGAAACUCAGGUAAAAAGAGCACAAAGACAGUGUACACCUCACAACAAAACAGCAAACUGUAACACAGAGCAAGGAAGAGGGAACAGCAACAUAUUCCCUCUUAGGCAGGCCCAACUCAUAUGUUCCAAACUUGCUCAAAAAAUUUUACAAUAAAAUAGGGAGUCAUGCCAGGCAAACAAACAUUGCCAAGUUGUGCUUCCCUAGAAGUUUGAUCCCCUAGUAGAAAUUAAAGCUAAUUUUUAGGCCAAUGAACAAUGCCUCAUCAUACUCAAAGAACACUGAUAAUGUAGAUUCAAACUGAAGUUUUGAAGCUUCAGCUGACUACAAUUUUGCUUUAUAGGUUAAUAAAAGUCAGCCAAAGAAAAACCAAACACUCUGACCUAUCACAUAGGUUCCUCUGGAAACAUGCUGACAAAGUCCUCAGAAGGGCAUGAUAUUUAUCCACAACACUCUAUUUUUGGACUGCUUUCCGUGCUUUUGGUAGAAGCAGAGAAGGAAGCAGCCACCACUAACAGAACAGCCUUUCAUUGUUCUGUGAUUUGCAGCUAACAGUUGCUAUCCUGCUCAGGUAAGCCUUGCAAAGACAAAAUCCAAGGAAUAGGCUGGAUUUGGAAUCAAGCGAGAGCAGGCAUGAAGCUGCAUGUCAUAGAUUGCAAGAACAUGAGUUUGCAAGUUACUUCCUGGGCAAGUAUUUUAUAUUAAGCAUUCUAGACAAAGGUAUGUCACUCCUGUUGUGCAGGAUUUAAAAUAAAAUGUACAUAUACUUUGGACAUACCUACUAUGCUAUAUCCUGUAUGGGUUGGAAAAGAAGAAUUGAAAGAAAUAAAGCAGAUAAUAAAGGAUCAACUGGCUAGGCUGCCUGAGAUCAGUUCAUUAACCACUUCUGGUCUAGGAGAACACCACAAGGACAAAGAAACAAUUGUUCAAUCCAUCCCAGCAUCUUUCUUUACAGUCUCUGCUAGCAACAGCAACUCCACAAGACUCAAUCCUUUCCUUAUUUCUUCAUCACAUCAACACUAACAUCUGUAUUUUAUAGAUUAGAUAGAACAGACCAAAGCAGAGACAGCAUUUUAAAAUAUUUUAACAUAAAAUUAAACCCUCCAACCUCCAUCAGACACCAUCCAUAGUGAUUUCACUAAAUCCCAUCAUUAUUCAGCACCUUUGAUACUGAGAUUGCACAUCUAGGCACUUCUGUAUUUACAAGGCCUUGUAGAACCCACAUCUAACUGGAAGUCCCAUGUCACACCAUGAUCCUCCCAACAAUUCAAAGACUAAGCCAGAAAUAAACCCUUAAAGCUUUGGUGCAGAGUUUCUGCUCUCCCCACCAGAUCACCUUUCCUCACUGAAAGAACAGAAUGGAUGAAUUUCAGUAGCUUUUCUGCUAUCUGCAUUUCUUUACAUGUCUCCUGCAAUGAGAAUGAACAUGCGACUCAGUAAGCAGAGUUUGACUGAAUGUUAACAAAAACCUGAGCUUCUUCCAGAAUUUAUUACACUGUUUUAAAAAACCAAACGAACAAACAAACCCCAAAACCUCUAGGUAGAAGCCUAAGUGUGGUUAAUAGAAGACAACAAAAUCCCUGAAGGAAAAUUCACCUAUUGAAAAGAAGUGACAGCAGCAGCCACAGCAAGAAAACCCCUUGUUGCCAUGCUGAAGGAAAGUUGAGCAGCAUUUUUCAACACUUUUCUCCUCCCCUCCUCCUCUUCUUCCCACCCACCUGACUCUCAUUUGCAGCCAUAUGAAUCCCAGUGGUCUCAGUGGCACAGUGUGAAAUUAACAAAUCACUUCUAGAUUAGAACAGAGCUGACAGACUUUCCAGCGUGGGCUGGCAGGCACAUGUAUGUACAGGCCUCCCUCCUGCCUUUACUUUUGUAAAAAUCAUGGAUAUAAAUAUACACACAUGCGUAUCAGGUUAUGGCCUGAUACUUGCUUCAGACUUAACUCUGGCUGAGCAAAUGAAGGGCUAACAUUUAACAAUGUGAAACAGAAUAUUAGUUGUCAUUUUGCCUAAAAUGUCUAAUUAUCUGAGGAUAAGGAAUGAGGAUCAGAUACCUCUCCUGCCCAUUACUAUCCCACUAUCUAACCUCUAACCUCAAUCAUGAAUGCCAAUACUGCUAGAGGUAUAAAUAAGCAAGAUAGCUAUACCUAUAUUUUAAAAAUUAAACCAGAAAGCAACUGUGACUCUAUGCAAACUUGCUACAGCAUCAACUAUAUAGACCAUUACAUAGCAGCAGAGCAGAAUACCAUUUUCAACAACGAUUCUCCACUUUUCCUACAUUUUUCUGAGAAUGCUUUAAUCACUAACUGGCCUUGAAAACAGGCAUAUCCUUUGUCUAGGUGCCACAAGAGAAAGGACUCUAUUCAAGGAAUAAGACUGCAUGAGGCCCAGCACCUGUGGCUUGAAGUCUUCAUAUAAUAGAGCCCAGAGAGCCAAAGUACUUGAAUUCAUGGCCUGUAUUAUGGUGUCUGAAUUGUAUUUAACAGAAAUCAACUGUGAAGAUGAGAACGGCACUUUCAGCAGAGGGGGAAAAGAAAAGGAAAAAGAAAAAACACAACAAUGAGGAAUUUUGAAAGCCUGACAAUACCACAAGGAAGCUUGAAGCCUGAUCUGCCAUCUUUAGAGUCAGUCGUGACAGCACAGCAUAGAUGCUGGGUACUUGGCCUCACUUCUUAGUACUAUGGGCCACUUGAAUCACAAAAGGAAUGUUGUCUCACAGAGUUCAUCUACUCCUGCUGCUAACAGUCAUUGCCUGAUGUCAUAAUCCUCUGUAGCAACAGAAUUUUCUUCAGAGCAACUAAUAAGGAUGUCACAGGGAAUUAGGAUUUUGGAUUAGGGAGCAAAGUGACAGAAGCACAGGAAGGAUUAUAAAACAUGAAGAUUGUGCUGCCACGCACAUGCCCUUUAGUGCUAACGAACAAGAAAAGAUGACAAACAACUUAUAUAUAAAGCAGUAGAAUUGUUUCUAAAUUACCAGUGCCAUCAGGACUCAGCUGAGCUUGGUACAGUGCCUUCUUCGUGCCACACACACAGUGGAAAGAGGAGUAAGUGGGCAGUAGAUAUCAAGUAGAAGUGGAGAAAUCCCCAGUGCAGAAAAGCAACCCUGCUUGCAGAAGCAUGACUUGCUGUGCCUCUUCCUAUCCAGGUUAAGCCUACCAACAGAGGCAUCUCCUUUGGAACAUGAAAUAGAAAACCAGGAUUCUUCAACAAUAUCCUUUUUAUUUUUAUAUCUACAUCUCUAAUUUUUACUGGAACAGUUCAGUAUCCAAGGACUUGCAGGAUCUGAGAUUUGAUGGGUUAUCCCCCCUGGGAAGGAGACUAGUACUACACUUUUCUUUAGUUACCUAUCCAGAUGUAUUGUUUUUUUAUUAAUUUUUCUACUAAGUAUUUGAAGAAAAUCACCUUUGAAGAGUAUAAUAGCCUAAUCUUGUAUCUGUAUUCUGCUUAGACAAAUUGCUUUUUCUACCAUCUUUCCUGCAAUAUCAGUUGUAUGGUAUGUUUCUCUUUGCCCUGAAAUUAAAAAAAAAAAAACAACCCAACUCUACUGCUGCAUGUUGCUAAAACUUUCAUGUUUCACUGGCAAGAAAAGUCGUUCCUUCUGUAUCUUUUGAAAGCUCUUUGCAGGAAAAGGAACUUGAGAAAUAAAAGACAGCAUUGUGUUUAUUGUUCUUUCAAGUAACACAUGGAAUCAGUUUAUACAGCAGUUGCAGGAUUAUAACACAACUGCUUCAUGCUCUGAUCACAACUAGCAAUAAAUAUUAAGAUAAGCAAACCAUUAUUGGUCUUGCACAUAACACCUUCCUCCACACAUGAAAAAUUCACUCUUUUUGAAAGGAAUCAACAUUUGUGUUAAUGCUAUCGCCUCAACAAGAUGAAGAUCAGCAACAAGGGAAGUUCAAUAACAAUAUGGUUCCAUUUUCAUUCUUCAUAUCCCUAAAUGCUUUCAUCUCUUCCCCUUCUAUCUUCAGAAAUGUUACGAAGCAGUAGGAAAGUAAUAUACACGACAUCUUUACAGCCUUUGCAGACUAAGGUGCUUUUUUAGUCCCAUAGUUCCUAAAUUACAAAUGUCAUGCAGCACUGAAAUAUCUCUACCACUACUGUAAAGUCAGAUAUUACAAUCAAUUUACACCUUUGAUAAAUCUACACACUACUUCUGUCAGCAUUCCUCUUUCAUAACCAGAGAGCAUCAGCCUUUUUUAAUUCAAUCUGCAGUAGCAGUUCAGCUCAGAAAGGCAUCAGGUCUUGGAAACCAAAUGCACUAGGCAGGAAAUAAACCCAUUCCAAGGACUCACUCUUCCUUGCAGGUUAAGUACGAAACAAAGUUAUACCAAAUAGUUUUCCAAUGUUAGAAUAAUUUGGAAAGCAAGAUUUUUCCUGUUUAAAAAGUGAACAAAAUUAAGGCUGAAUCUCAUGGAACCAUCUCUUUCUGGGACGAACCAUACCACAUAUACUGGUACUGCCAAAUAUGUAUUGGUGUGGCAGCAUUUACUUUGCACAAAUGCAAGAAACUAAAUUAUAGUCAGGGUUUAGUGCAUGAUUCAGAAAGUUAGAUCCUGUAUUUUGAGUCACAGAUAGCAGAAAGCAGGAAUAUCACAGACUAAUAUAGCAAACCAGAACCAAAAACCAAACAGAUUUUCAACGAUUGCAAGGCCAGCUCUUCAAGCUCUCAGUUUCAUACUUUGUUAAGAACUCAUCAUCCCUUUCAUCACCUAAAUAAGGUUAGACAUCUGUCAGGUUCCAUAUUUAAAGUUACUCAUUGUCAGAAAUAACUCAAAAGUCAGCAUUCUUCUGUCCUCUGAAAAACGUAGCCAUUUUUUUCAUUGCCGCAACAGAGCCUGAAUACUUCAUCCACCUGAUACAAGUCAUGGUGCUGAGUCCAUUUGUUCCAAUAAGUGGCUGGUCUAAAAACUUCAGGAACUGGGACUAGUUAAAAUAACAAAUAUGCACAAAUGUGCUUUCUCCCACAGAAAGCACAUCUAUCUCAAGGUUACACAAGAAGGGAAUCUAGAAGCAAUGGCAAUUCAUAGAAAUAGAUCUGCCAAGUGCUGGGAUUUCCUUCCCUUCAAAGAAAGCUGGCAUAUACCUAUCACCCCUCUCCCUUGCCACUCUUCUACUUUCCAUUUCUAGGUAACCUAAAAGGUUAUGAGAAAUGUCUUUAUACACAUACUGGUGAGGAAAGACUGAAAAAGGGCCAAAAGAAUAAAAAUCCCAACCAGAGAACAAUAAAUCAACUGCAUAAAAGGGAGUAUGCCUGCACACAGAAUGCAACAAGGGACAGGGAGACACAAAUGAAGCAGAGGAACUAAACAGCAUUUGGGCAUUCAGACACAGAAGCUAAAAGCAUAAAUGAAAAUUAAAAGGGCUGUACAUGAACAAGAAAAAAACAGAGUACAUUGGAAAAAUAUCCUUCCUCACUGCAAGUCACAGCAAUAUAAAAGAAUCACAGAAUAGUCUGAUUUGGAAGGGACCCACAAGGAUCAUCAAGUCCAGCCCUUAAGUAUGAGGCAUCAUGGCCUAUCCUGAAAUAGCCAAACCUAUUUAGCAAUGGUUGGUUUCCUGGAAAGCCAAUACUCCACUUUAUGCACUCAAGCCACACUUCCCCUCAGGCUUCAAUGUAAUCAAAUUUCUCUAUCUGAAGGGCAAAUAUUCCUACAGGGUUAAGACCUCAGUAAAAAAUUGAGCAUGAGAUGGAAUAAUCUUCACAGGUGUACUACUCCUUUGCCUCUGAGGGUUCUGGAAAAAUCAAAACAACAGAUCUCUUUGCCCCAGAACUCCUGUGCAUGAUGCAUCCACUUCAAUAAACAUCAAAAAUCAAGCCCAGGAAUUCCUGUGCAUGCAUUCUGAAUUCUGAUGGACAUAUAACUGACUACAGAGAACAACAGUGGCUGUGGCAAGAAAGAGACAGUACUUUCUGAUGUCUAAUCUAAGUCCCAAAAUCAUUGCCACAAUUUGAGUGGAUGGCACAAAACAUCUUAAUCCUAAAGUUAUUUAUACUCCAGUGUAAUUCCGGGACACUUUUUUCUUAUCACUUUCUUUUCUCAUCAGUCUCAGUCCACGUAUAUUUCCUAUUUUUUCAAAUAUCACCUUUUAUUCCUUUCAUUUACAUAAACUUCAGAAAUCCCCUAAGGGCAGCACUUCUCUAUAUCACUCACCUGUGUAAGACAGAGUAUUUCAAAUUUUACAGUAGGGAACAGGUCAGAGAUGCCAACAAAACGUAGUUGCAGUCAGAUGCUCCACAUGCAUAAAGCAAAAUACAUCACAUCAAUUUCUCUCUACCUUUAGGCUGUCAAAUAUUUCAGAUUCAAUGUCUCAUAUGGAUCAAAUUGCUAAAAUUAUCUCAGACUGUCAGUAUCAUUACCUGUUGGGUGAGAGAGUAUCUCUUAAUAUGCUCCUGUCAACAACUGCUACAGUGAAAAGCUAUUAAAAUAUCCUUAUUCGUCCAAAUUUAUUUUUAUCCUUUUCUACUGAGCCACAGAACACCAAACUCUACCUAAAAACACAGAUGAUAUCCUGAAGGAAAGGCAAUGGCUACCUGCCUAUACCUGGAAUACAGAAGAAGAAUAUUUUGAUUUGAAAGUGGUAUGUAUUACAUUAGAUGAGGUCAGCAAUAUCACCAGGUUUUCACAGUAAACACAGUGAACAGAAAAGGAGUUUAGGAAUCAUGUGAUUAAAGCUACAAAACCUUACUUCCAGAGAUAUGUAAAAUGUCAGGAAGUCUCUAUCUCAGAGGGUGAAACAGGAACAUUCUCUAUUUUGUCUCACAACAGAACUUUAGGCAUUAAGUGGCUUAGACAUAAAAUUUCAAGAUGACUAAGAUGAUCCCAUAACAGAUGCCAUCAGGACUGCUAAACAGAGACAUGUUGUUCAAUGCCUCUGACUUCCCCUUCUACCUGAAACCAUUAUCUCCUUUUCCAUUAAAAAGGAGAAGCAAUUUUUUAACUUUUGCAGCAUUCCAGAAUAAAUUAAUUUGUACUCUAUAUUGUAGUCUUUACAGAUGAAUUGGGAAGUACAUUUUAAUUAUCAUAUUUAAAAAUAUUCACUUUCAAUGCCAUGGAAGACAUCUUUCUGUUUAUACUAGUAUCAAAGACCUAUUAAUCUCUAAUAAGCAUAUUUCCUUACUUAUGUCCCAGAAAAAAAGUCUACAAGGUCUCUGAGAAUACCUGGUUUCCUUCUUUUUCUCACAAAUGCUACUCAACCUAGUGCCUUUCUCAAAUAACUCCUUGACCUGGUGGCACAGCUCCUUGACAAGGACACACCUGCAGGGGGGAUGACUCAGCCCCAGUUUCCUGGACAGGCACCAGGCACUCCGUACCAGCAGGGCCCUGCAGACCUGCCAGAAGGUCUCUUUGGGAGGAAGCCUGUGACACCACUGGUGUGGCAACAGCUGCUGGGGAAGGAGCUUUGUGGUGCAGAAUCAGUGCACGGUUGGCAGCACUGACUGCUGAGACAGGGGACAAGAGACCUCCUCGUACUCCUCGGGGUCCACAGCUGCUCCCGUGUGCUGCUCUCUGGUUCUGCUACUGUGCUGACCCUCCAAAAAGGAACCCUUCCCACCCAGAUUAUGGCUUGUCAAAAGCUAUUCUAAAUAUUAAGGGAGUUUGUUGUUUAGAGAUUUUUGUGGGUUUUUUUGUUUUAUUUUAAAAUUGAAAUUCCAGAAAGUUAUUUCAGUGGUUUUUUUUAAUAAAAUCUACAUUAAAAAAAACCCAACACACUGUUUAUACUUCCUGAUCUCCUUCCUUAAGAUCAGUACUAAAGAAACCAAGUCAACUUUCUGUUUUUUAAACCUCUGAGGGCCUUCUAUGUCUUGAUGCACAGCAGUUAUCUGCCUGAUCAUUAGGCUUUCCAGGAAAUCAACUGGUGCUUUUAUGGCUAUUCAGAGAUUGAUCCAGUCAAAUCGCCCAGGUCAAUAGAAGCAGCUCCAUUGUUUGCCAUGUUCUUCUUCAACCCAGAAUCCCCCACCAGAGAUGCUGGGGUUUGCCAUUCUGUUCCUGUCUUAGAGGUGUGACUACACCCAAAAAGCACUAAAUGUUACAUAAAAACA